GUAAGUGUAGAGUGAGAGGGUAGUUGGGGGGAUUGAGAGCGCGUUGGGGGGGGCGAGUUAAAGGGAGUAAAGCACUCGGCCUGGGGGAGUGCGGUGGCAAGACUGAAAAUCAAAGGAAAUGGACGGGGGGCCCGCACAAAGGGUGGAGCAUGUGGUUUAAUUGGAAGCAACGCGAGGAACCUUACCAGGUCUGGACAUCCUCGGACAAUCCUAGAGAUAGGACGUCCCCUUCGGGGGCAGAGUGACAGGUGGUGCAUGGUUGUCGUCAGCUCGUGUCGUGAGAUGUUGGGUUAAGUCCCGCAACGAGCGCAACCCUUGAUCUUAGUUGCCAGCAUUCAGUUGGGCACUGUAAGGUGACUGCCGGUGACAAACCGGAGGAAGGUGGGGAUGACGUCAAAUCAUCAUGCCCCUUAUGACCUGGGCUACACACGUGCUACAAUGGACAGAACAAAGGGCAGCGAAACCGCGAGGUUAAGCCAAUCCCACAAAUCUGUUCUCAGUUCGGAUCGCAGUCUGCAACUCGACUGCGUGAAGCUGGAAUCGCUAGUAAUCGCGGAUCAGCAUGCCGCGGUGAAUACGUUCCCGGGCCUUGUACACACCGCCCGUCACACCACGAGAGUUUGUAACACCCGAAGUCGGUGAGGUAACCUUUAUGGAGCCAGCCGC
RNAcentral lists this ribosomal RNA (666 nucleotides) under Bacillus sp. (in: firmicutes). Its description in RNAcentral is "bacterial SSU rRNA". The stretch from base 84 to 666 matches the Rfam family "Bacterial small subunit ribosomal RNA", at positions 875 to 1456 of the family's 1533-position model. Lineage: Bacteria; Bacillati; Bacillota; Bacilli; Caryophanales; Bacillaceae. The record is from RNAcentral.